CGCGUAGGCGGCGGUGUCAGUCAGGCGUGAAAUUCCUGGGCUUAACCUGGGGGCUGCGCUUGAUACGGCACUGCUAGAGGUCAGAAGAGGCUCGUGGAAUUCCCAGUGUAGAGGUGAAAUUCGUAGAUAUUGGGAAGAACACCGGUGGCGAAGGCGGCGAGCUGGUCUGAUACUGACGCUGAGGCGCGACAGCGUGGGGAGCAAACAG
This 208-nucleotide ribosomal RNA is filed under the name uncultured Acetobacteraceae bacterium. Its description in RNAcentral is "partial 16S ribosomal RNA". It matches the Rfam family "Bacterial small subunit ribosomal RNA", at positions 568 to 775 of the family's 1533-position model. Lineage: Bacteria; Pseudomonadati; Pseudomonadota; Alphaproteobacteria; Acetobacterales; Acetobacteraceae. The record is from RNAcentral.